UACAGAGGUCUCAAGCGUUGUUCGGAUUCAUUGGGCGUAAAGGGUGCGUAGGUGGCGGGGCAAGUCUGGUGUGAAAUCCCGGGGCUCAACCCUGGAACUGCACUGGAUACUGCUUUGCUAGAGUACUGGAGAGGGAACUGGAAUUUACGGUGUAGCAGUGAAAUGCGCAGAUAUCAGGAGGAACACCGGUGGCGAAGGCGGGUCUCUGGGCCGAUACUGACGCUGAGGAGCGAAAGCGUGGGGAGCGAACAGG
Molecule: ribosomal RNA, 253 nt
Filed under: uncultured bacterium
Lineage: Bacteria
Description: partial 16S ribosomal RNA
Rfam family: Bacterial small subunit ribosomal RNA
Source: RNAcentral